CGCCUGGGGAGUAGGGUCGAAGGACUGAAACUAAAAGGAAUUGAGGGGGGCCCGCACAAGGGGGGGAGCAUGGGGUUUAAUUGGAAGCAAGGGGAAGAACCUUACCAGGUUUGGACAUCAUAGGACAACCCAAGAGAGAGGGGUUUCCUUUCGGGGAUAGAGUGACAGGUGGUGAAGGGUGGUGGUCAGCUGGGGUCGUGAGAUGUUGGGUUAAGUCCGGCAAGGAGCGCAACCCUUGAUCUUAGUUGCCAGCAUUCAGGUGGGCAAUUUAAGGUGACUGCCGGUGACAAACCGGAGGAAGGGGGGGAUGACGUCAAAUCAUCAUGCGCCUUAUGACCUGGGGUACACACGUGGUACAAUGGACAGGACAAAGGGGUGCAAGAGCGCAAGGGUUAGGCAAUUCCAUAAAUAUGUUCUCAGUUCGGAUCGCAGUUUGCAAAUUGGAUGGGUGGAGGUGGAAUCGGUAGUGAUAUGCGGAUCAGCAUGGCGCGGUGUUUAAGUUUACUGGGUUUUGGUUAAUUUGGGCCGGGGAAAGCUUUAA
This 541-nucleotide ribosomal RNA is filed under the name Bacillus subtilis. RNAcentral's name for it is "bacterial SSU rRNA". It matches the Rfam family "Bacterial small subunit ribosomal RNA", at positions 870 to 1533 of the family's 1533-position model. The record is from RNAcentral. Lineage: Bacteria; Bacillati; Bacillota; Bacilli; Caryophanales; Bacillaceae.